Molecule: ribosomal RNA, 497 nt
Filed under: uncultured bacterium
Lineage: Bacteria
Description: partial 16S ribosomal RNA
Rfam family: Bacterial small subunit ribosomal RNA
Source: RNAcentral
GACGAACGCUGGCGGCGUGCCUAAUACAUGCAAGUCGAGCGGACGGAUGGGAGCUUGCUCCCAGACCGUCAGCGGCGGACGGGUGAGUAACACGUGGGCAACCUGCCUGUAAGACUGGGAUAACUCCGGGAAACCGGGGCUAAUACCGGAUAACUCUUUCCCUCACAUGAGGGAAAGCUGAAAGAUGGCAUCUCGCUAUCACUUACAGAUGGGCCCGCGGCGCAUUAGCUAGUUGGUGAGGUAACGGCUCACCAAGGCGACGAUGCGUAGCCGACCUGAGAGGGUGAUCGGCCACACUGGGACUGAGACACGGCCCAGACUCCUACGGGAGGCAGCAGUAGGGAAUCUUCCGCAAUGGGCGAAAGUCUGACGGAGCAACGCCGCGUGAGUGAUGAAGGUUUUCGGAUCGUAAAACUCUGUUGUCAGGGAAGAACAAGUACCGGAGUAACUGCCGGUACCUUGACGGUACCUGACCAGAAAGCCACGGCUAACUACGU